Molecule: unclassified non-coding RNA, 378 nt
Filed under: uncultured bacterium
Lineage: Bacteria
Description: contains 16S-23S intergenic spacer region
Source: RNAcentral
UCCGGUUUGUCACCGGCGGUCUCCCUAGAGUUCCCAACUAAAUGAUGGCAACUAGGGACAAGGGUUGCGCUCGUUGCGGGACUUAACCCAACAACUCACGACACGAGCUGACGACAGCCAUGCAGCACCUGUCUCCAGGCUCCCGAAGGCACCCCCGCAUCGCUGCAGGGUUCCUGGGACGUCAAACCCAGGUAAGGUUCUUCGCGUUGCAUCGAAUUAAUCCACAUGCUCCGCCGCUUGUGCGGGCCCCCGUCAAUUCCUUUGAGUUUUAGCCUUGCGGCCGUACUCCCCAGGCGGGGCGCUUAAUGCGUUAGCUACGGCACAGAGACCGUGGAAUGGCCCCCACACCUAGCGCCCACCGUUUACGGCGUGGACUAC